UGAGGAAUAUUGGUCAAUGGACGUAAGUCUGAACCAGCCAAGUAGCGUGCAGGAUGACGGCCCUAUGGGUUGUAAACUGCUUUUAUGCGGGGAUAAAGUUGGGGACGCGUCCCUUUUUGCAGGUACCGCAUGAAUAAGGACCGGCUAAUUCCGUGCCAGCAGCCGCGGUAAUACGGAAGGUUCGGGCGUUAUCCGGAUUUAUUGGGUUUAAAGGGAGCGUAGGCCGGAGAUUAAGCGUGUUGUGAAAUGUAGUGGCUCAACCUCUGCACUGCAGCGCGAACUGGUCUUCUUGAGUACGCACAACGUGGGCG
Molecule: ribosomal RNA, 311 nt
Filed under: uncultured Prevotella sp.
Lineage: Bacteria; Pseudomonadati; Bacteroidota; Bacteroidia; Bacteroidales; Prevotellaceae
Description: bacterial SSU rRNA
Rfam family: Bacterial small subunit ribosomal RNA
Source: RNAcentral